This 295-nucleotide unclassified non-coding RNA is filed under the name Chlorophyllum hortense. RNAcentral's name for it is "partial contains 5.8S ribosomal RNA, internal transcribed spacer 2, and large subunit ribosomal RNA". The record is from RNAcentral. Lineage: Eukaryota; Fungi; Basidiomycota; Agaricomycetes; Agaricales; Agaricaceae.
CGCACCUUGCGCUCCUUGGUAUUCCGAGGAGCAUGCCUGUUUGAGUGUCAGUAAAAUUUCAACCCCUCUGAUUUUUUAAUCGGGUAUAUGGGGCUUGGAUGUGGAGGUAUUUGCCGGCCUUCAAAGGUUGACUCCUCUGAAAUGUAUUAGCGGAACUGUUUGCAAUCCGUCACAGGUGUGAUAAUUAUCUAUGCCAGUGGGUUGCUCUCUGUUGUUCAGCUGCCAACUGUCUGCAAGGACAAUCAUUUAAUGAAUAUUUGACCUCAAAUCAGGUAGGACUACCCGCUGAACUUAA